Molecule: long non-coding RNA, 505 nt
Organism: Pogoniulus pusillus (Red-fronted tinkerbird)
Lineage: Eukaryota; Metazoa; Chordata; Aves; Piciformes; Lybiidae
Exons: 3
Source: RefSeq, a predicted model, not a curated record
CCAUGAUUUGGGAGAAUGGGAAGAAAGGAUUCUUGGGUGCCUAGGAGCUGCUGGAAGAAGCUGCAUUUGCUGGGCAUGAGAUGCACAGAAAGCCCACAAUAAAAAACACAGUGCAAGUGCUUGGAGAAAAAUAGUUGUCAAGGCAAGCAGUUAUCAGAAUUACUUUGGGGCCAAGGGGUGAUGCAGAAGUCAUGCAGCAGCCAGGCAGUGCAACCCCACCAGAUCCUCCUUGGAAGAGCUCUGCAGGGAUGUGUUGGACUAGAUGAUCUUCAGAGAUCCCUUCCAACCCCUAUCAUUCUGCAAUGUGUCUUCACCAGGAUGGAUCCUGCUGAUGUGCCUGUCACAGUUCCUGCUGUGAGGCUCUGGCUGAACUCAUCUCUUUGGAACAAACCCCAAUAUUCACCUGCUCUCUGGGCUGUUGGUUUUCUUACUGCCUCACCUGCUCCUGUUGCUUGAGAAGAUCUGAGAAUAUCUGGGUCUUGAAAAUGAAACUCUGUUGGGCUUU